Molecule: long non-coding RNA, 349 nt
Filed under: Fragaria vesca (wild strawberry)
Lineage: Eukaryota; Viridiplantae; Streptophyta; Magnoliopsida; Rosales; Rosaceae
Description: long non-coding RNA (FVES_LNC005302)
Source: RNAcentral
AAUUUAACUGGUUCAUCAAAAGGGUAGGUAAUAAUACCAUCAUAUUCAGUUUUGAAAGGGUAAAUUAAAGUUAUGAAAGGUAGUCCUAAAAUUACUUUAUCAGUUAGAUUUUUUACCAAGACAAACGAAGUUUUGAAACAAACAUUGUUUUGGCAGAUAUGGGCCUUAGGGAUUUCGUAUUUAAUAUCCAUUUUUGUUCCAUUAGCUGAUCGUAAAGAUUCUUUCGUUUUUUCAAAAUAUUUGGAAGGUAUUAAGCCUUCUUGGAUGCAAUUAAGGUCUGCACCAGAGUCAAUAAGGGCUGUUAUUGUUAUUUGGAAAUCUUUUAUUUUGAGUUGGACAGUAGUGUACC